GGGGGUGAACGGUUUCGACUCCGGACGGUGAGUCAGGGGAAGCGUGCAGGUGCAGGCGGGAGACCACCUAGAGCGUCGCCGCACAACAAAUAAGCGCCGACAACAAGAGUCGCGCCGAGUUCGCCCUCGCCGCCUGAGCGAGGACUAACUCUGUCGGACCGGGAACGCCUUCGUCCCGGACCCCGGCAUCAUUGAGAAGGCUCAACUGCUAGGACUGGCUACGGGAACUGGCAGGACACCUCACAGUAGCUGGGCUCGUCACACCGGCAGGUUCGCGUGACCGGUGGAGUCAAGUAGAGGCUGAGCGGACUGCGCACGGAGAAGUCCUGAGGAAGCGUCGGAGGACCCGGGUUCAAUUCCCGGCACCUCCACUC
Molecule: transfer-messenger RNA, 374 nt
Filed under: Actinoalloteichus sp. AHMU CJ021
Lineage: Bacteria; Bacillati; Actinomycetota; Actinomycetes; Pseudonocardiales; Pseudonocardiaceae
Also listed under: 1 other name
Rfam family: transfer-messenger RNA
About the family: Bacterial tmRNA, also known as 10Sa RNA or SsrA, is named for its dual tRNA and mRNA-like properties.
Source: RNAcentral